ACCACCCGAGAGAUCCUGAACCAACCCGCCCGCCCACCUACCUUAUCGGCAACCCCAACUCCCGCCCGCCUUCUUCCCCGGCGGCGGCGCCUAAUCCCGCCCAGCUUCUUCCCCGGCGACAGCGCCUAAUCCCCGCCCAGCGUCUUCCCCGGCGGCGGCGCCGAAUCCCCGCCCAGCUUCUUCCCCGGCCGCGCGCGCCGAAUCCCCGUCCAGCUUCUUUCAUGGCGGCCACGCCAAAUUCCCCUCCCUUCCCCGUUGCCGCGGCCACCCUACGCUCCGCCCUAGCCCGCCACCACGGCCACCCUGCCCGCUGUCCCCGGGCCUUUUCCUCCCAGGCACGCCUCCACGGCCACUCCACGCACCACGGCCUCCUCGCGCGAUGUCACCGUCUUCUUCCUCUUAGGCGUGCGGCCCCUGCUUUGACCGUGUCCUGCCCUGGUGGAAUCCACAUACCACCGUCGUGGGAGUUCACAGUUGCUCGUGCACCACCUUCAGGCCCUCCCCUCCCCUAGCUCCGCCACUCUUGGCAUGGCCACAGAGUCCACCCAUCGCUGCUGGGGAGUCCACUACGCGGAAUCGACCGGUAGCACCCAUCCCCCUUUUCCCUGGCUCGCUCCUCCCUGGGAGUCCUCCCUGCGCCGCCAGGGAGUCCACCCGCGCCUACCCCUGCGCUGGUCGGGUCCCUGGGCCUCCCGCGGCGGGGCAUCGACCUCCUGCGGUUAUGGGUCGACAGCGACAUGAGGGGCUGCAGCCUACAGGUCGUGUGCGGGCCUGUUCACGGUAAUUUUCUCUGUGAACUGCUACCGUUUUGUGAACUUGCUCGAUGAUCUACUCAACUCUGAAGUCUGAACCGGCUGAUGCUGAUACAGAAUUAUACUCUACCUAACUGUUUUGGUAUUUUCUACUCACUCGUCAGUUAUAGCAAUCUGUUUUAAUUAACACGGAUUUGCACCUCGUCUGCAUAGAAAAGAUGUCUUUUUUUAUGCAGUGAGAUGAAGUUUACUAACUGUUCGUGAUACAGCGAAGCUCUUGUUUUUUGUGUUCUCUUACCGCAGAAGGGAGAAAUAGUUUGCUGAUGUGUGCAGAACUUGCGUCUGUUGCUUUUCUUUCCUCCUGUUCUUAGAGUGAGCCCACAAUAGUUUGCUUUUUUGACAGCAGAAGGGAGAAAUAGCUAUUCACAUCAUAGAUUGCACGGAGAAAGUGAAGUUCAUUCUUGUUUAAUACAACAAUUUGGGAUGGUACGAAAAAGAAGUUAUUCACAUCAUAUUUGGGGGAAAGUUCACUUCUAUUUCUGGGAGUUAAUUUUGUCUGCCUGACGGGUUUGGUUAAAAAUCAUGCAACAAAUUAGGGAGUUCAGAAACAUAAGUACGAUCGAAUGAUGCGAGUAAUCAAGCAGGAACGAUGAUGAACUUGUGAAGUUCAGAUAAGUAGUGAAGUAGGGAUGAACUCUGAAGUUCACCACAACCAGCCGCCGCCGCAAAGCCUAUGCGGAAUACCACUAGGCCUUCGCCGUGGUUGUGCCUCUCCACAAUAGCACCCCGUUGUGGCAGUCUACACCAACACAGCAGGAGUUCACCAGGCGGCGCUCUGGGAGUCCACAAUGGGGCAGUAGCAACAAUUUGGAUUCAGCGAGAUAUUGGUCAAAAUGGAAUUAUCUGAAGCAGCUAAUUUUGGGACGAAUUAUCUCAAACCAAUGCCAAGGACGAUGGGUGAAGUUCACUUCUUCUAAACCUUUUCACAUCGGCGUUGGAAAAUAUCCAUCACCUACCUCCGCAUCGGCGUUGGCGAACAUCCGUGCACGCCAAGAUCCCAGCUAUGAAGUUCACAUCUUUUUUCAGCCUUGAAGGCAAAGAAAUGGGAUGCAAGAAAGUUUCUUGCUUUUUCUGUAGCCAGCGUGAAAGUUCAGUUCACCUAAUUCCGUGAAGUUCACUCCUCCCAAGUGCUUCAGUUCAGAUUUUUCCAGCUAGAUGGGGAUUGUGAAGUAUGUGAAGUAUGUGCACGAGCAGAUGGUGGUGAUGCUGUUGUACCCAUAGUACACCUUCAAUUGCUUAGAGAAUAGGUAAUACAUAUAUGUUCUCGAUGUGUGGGUGAUAGAAAAAUAGUAGUUCACUUCACCAUAUUGUAAGUUAAUGCUUUAUUUUGGGGAAGUCCCCCAAAUCUAUUGGCAGUUCACUUUGUGUAAUUGGCCAAAAGUUAA
Long non-coding RNA from Lolium rigidum, 2197 nucleotides. RefSeq lists it as uncharacterized. Lineage: Eukaryota; Viridiplantae; Streptophyta; Magnoliopsida; Poales; Poaceae. The record is from RefSeq and is a predicted model, not a curated record. The transcript has 5 exons.